RNAcentral lists this ribosomal RNA (253 nucleotides) under uncultured bacterium. RNAcentral's name for it is "partial 16S ribosomal RNA". It matches the Rfam family "Bacterial small subunit ribosomal RNA", at positions 524 to 776 of the family's 1533-position model. The record is from RNAcentral.
GACGAAGGGGGCUAGCGUUGUUCGGAAUUACUGGGCGUAAAGCGCGUGUAGGCGGUUGUUCAAGUCAGGUGUGAAAGCCUUGAGCUCAACUCAAGAAAUGCACUUGAUACUGGAUGACUAGAGGACCGGAGAGGAUAGUGGAAUUCCCAGUGCAGUGGUGAAAUACGUAGAGAUUGGGAAGAACACCAGUGGCGAAGGCGGCUAUCUGGACGGUUUCUGACGCUAAGACGCGAAAGCGUGGGGAGCAAACAGG